RNAcentral lists this long non-coding RNA (979 nucleotides) under Apteryx owenii (little spotted kiwi). RNAcentral describes it as "lncRNA (ENSAOWG00000016136.1)". The record is from RNAcentral. Lineage: Eukaryota; Metazoa; Chordata; Aves; Apterygiformes; Apterygidae.
GAUCCAGUCCUGGUUACAGAUGGUGUCCAGAAAUCCUCAAAGUCAAGGAACGUGACUGUGUUUGGGUUCCCUCAGGGAUGCCGAUUCCUCCUAGAAGUAGUGAUUCAGCUGGGAGCAGACAUUACUGAAGAGAACUGCAAGUGUAUCGGGGGUAAAGGGAGAAAUGAAAUUUUUCUCUAAUGGGAUUUUCUGAAGCCAGUCCCAUUGAUCGAGAUUGUUGUGCAGAGCUUAAAAAGUAGCCAGCCAGGUUGAACCUCGUAAGAAGAAGAUCACAGAAAUUCUGGGUGCUGGCCUGCAUGUGUGUGACAUUUUGGACCCCCGUGAGCUGGACUUCCUCUCCUCUCUCCCUUGUCUCCAGACGACUUGUCUUCCUGGCUCCUCUGGCAUGUACCUGGUGGUAGGACUCAGAGUACAGGAGCAGGUGUUCAGUAGUUCAGACAACACACAAACAUUUUGAGGAAUGCUCUGAAGCAUUAGGCGAUUCUACCCAUCUGUGGAGCUGCUUCUUUUGUGUGUCUUCAGGACCUUUUUUCUCAAAGAAUGGGAAUAUUCAGACACGUGAGUGUAGCAGAAGAACCACUGAACUGACUGCUUGGUAAACCUGAAAACUGGAGUUUCUUGGACAAACGCUUUGCAGAAUAGGCAGGCAUGAAAAAAUGUAUAUAUCUUUUUAAUUAUUAGAGUCAGAAGAGCACUGGAUAGAUAAUGCUGGGUUUAUAAAGUGGUACACUUAUGAGGGGAAUUAUGAAAUUUUGGAUGCUGGUACAAAUAGUUUCCUCAGCUGCAACUUCACAUGGGGUAAUAUGAAGACACAGGCCUGCCUGAGGACAGUGACGGACAUGUUGGUCUUGUUAGACUUGAUAUAGAAGCGAAAAGCCUCAGGCAAGUCAUAACCUCAAUGGUCAUAAGAAGGUCCAGUGCUGAAACUAAAAAAACUAUAUCAGAAAUAAAAUCCUUACACCUAUUGGAAAUGCUUGCA